UUUGUCUGCGCCGCUUAUUGGAGACAUGCCAUUUCUGCACUGUGCCUCUAUGGGAUCUAGCUUCUCCCAGCUGUGUUUAAUGACAUGGCAUUUGGUUUGUAUUUGGUUUGUAAGUGCUGCAUCAUUGCUAGGUAACCUGUUUGCGGCGGAGUAAUACAUGGAGAGCUUCGGUUACAGUGCAUUACCGGCUAAUAAUGUCACUCAGUAAACACCUUUCAGCCAAUGAUAUUGCUGUCAUCCAUUUCUUCUUCUCCUUGACAAAAGAAAUUGCAGGAAAAUUAGAUGUAUCUGAUUUCUAUUCCACAUAUUAGGAAAUAAAAAUAAUGAGUGAGUGUUUUUUUUUUUUUUUUUUUGCUGUUCACACUCAGACAACACAUCUGUAUCACAUAUGAGCUUAUAUGUGGGCCACUUUAAUAUGCGGUGUUAAAGUGGCCAUAGUGUAUUGUGGUUGUUUCAGUCCAGAUUGACUCCAUCUGUAUGAUUUACUGCAGGCUAAUACAAUUUUUAUGUCUUUUCAGGUUCCAGCUUGGUUCUCGCUUGCUUCCCCUGUGGAAACUCACGCGGGGCGGAGGCCCAUCCCACGUCUGCUGACAGCGGUUCUGAUGAACGGGGCUCAGCAGUGGAGGCUGGACAGCAGGAUCAAAGAGCCGGACACGCAUGAAUCAAACAUGGAGGGGGAGGAUGGAGGAUGAGGGAUAUGGAGAAAUCCCCUGGGUUUGACUUAACAACCGGAGAAGCACUGAGUGGAAAGCAGCCCACUGUAUGGAGAUGGAGAGCUCAAACCGUCUCCAUUCAUUUCAAUGUACAACUUUUACCAGUCCAAUAUUUUUAAUAUUUUUAUUUUUAUGCCCAAUUAAACACUAAUAUGUACUACACAACAUACAGCUGUGCGUGAAUUCAUGAUGAAGUGUUGCUUCAUUUAAUGGCUUGGGAGUGCAAACACCUGUAUAAGUUGUGAGGCAUUAUCUUGUGGUGAGGUUGAUUGCCACUUGCCAGCAUACCGAUUUUAUUAUAUAUAUUUACUCCUUCCAUCGGGGACUGGGUGCUGCUGACUGACUGAGUCACACCAUAUGGACAUUAUUAUUCAACCACUUUAAUUCUUAAUUAUUUACUCAUGAUUAGGUAUUCACAUAUUCACAUAGAACCAAUUUGUAACGUAUGCAUAUUUAUAUUUCUAU
Molecule: long non-coding RNA, 1178 nt
Filed under: Astyanax mexicanus (Mexican tetra)
Lineage: Eukaryota; Metazoa; Chordata; Actinopteri; Characiformes; Acestrorhamphidae
Description: lncRNA (ENSAMXG00005009912.1)
Source: RNAcentral